Non-coding RNA from Paramuricea clavata, 636 nucleotides. Lineage: Eukaryota; Metazoa; Cnidaria; Anthozoa; Malacalcyonacea; Plexauridae. The record is from the annotation of a GenBank genome assembly.
UCAUAACAAAAGUUACUUUCGUAAAAACCCAGGACUAUUGCACAAUACUAUAGUAGCAUCAGUGAGCUCUAGGCAGUCGUUCGGCCUAUGAGAAAAGUUAAGCCAAGAUGGCGGCCAUUGACGUCCAAUAGCUACGAAGGUCGUAAACAGCUUUUAUACCAUUUCCCAGCUAAUUCCAUUUUUUCUAACGAACUGUAUCGUCAAACAAGUUAUCAAUUCAUAAAACCAUGGUGGUAUUCUUUAAAUCGACGACAAAAUACGAAAUUUCGGCAAACGUCUUGCCAGCUUCGUGUUAACCGCGCAAACAAAACCUCUAGAAAUGAACUAGUACCGACGUUCAAUCAGUUCACUGCGUUCAAUAGCUCUUCAAUUUCCGCCAUCUUGGCUUCACUUUUUGGACUCGAGUUCUCGCUCCAGUAAUAUAUCGAGCUCACUGAGUAAUAUUUGCACAUUAUAACAGCAAUUGCACAGUCUUUCAAUAGAUAAAUAUGUAUUCGUAUAACAAGUAUUCUUACAUAGGCGUACGAGACAGGGGGCUGAAAGGGGGGACUGCAGUCUGCAGCCCCCCCCUGCAUGUGUGCUUAUAGUCGAGUAGAUUGUACUUAAAAAUCGGGCAAUAUGCUAGGCCUGCCUGCC